GCCGAAGUGGCGAAAUCGGCAGACGCACGGGACUUAAAAUCCCGAGGUGGAAACACCGUGCGGGUUCAAGUCCCGCCUUCGGCACCA
Molecule: transfer RNA, 87 nt
Filed under: Luoshenia tenuis
Lineage: Bacteria; Bacillati; Bacillota; Clostridia; Christensenellales; Christensenellaceae
Also listed under: 1 other name
Description: tRNA-Leu
Rfam family: tRNA
About the family: Transfer RNA (tRNA) molecules are approximately 80 nucleotides in length. Their secondary structure includes four short double-helical elements and three loops (D, anti-codon, and T loops).
Source: RNAcentral